Molecule: transfer RNA, 64 nt
Filed under: Cavia porcellus (domestic guinea pig)
Lineage: Eukaryota; Metazoa; Chordata; Mammalia; Rodentia; Caviidae
Rfam family: tRNA
About the family: Transfer RNA (tRNA) molecules are approximately 80 nucleotides in length. Their secondary structure includes four short double-helical elements and three loops (D, anti-codon, and T loops).
Source: Rfam by way of RNAcentral
GGGGAUUUAGCUCAGCCGCGUAAGUACCUGCCUUGCAAGCAGGCAGUCAUGAGUUCAAUCCCCA